UGGAAAUAAAAAAGAUUUACUUCUGAUACUUCUAGUGAUAGUCUAUUACUGAACUUCUUUUAAAAGCCCAUUUUUCUUCAAGUCAGCUGUGAAUAGUUGCAGCAGUUGAUGAUUUAAUGAUGUAGGCCUACAGCUGAGCAACCCUUCCAGCUGAUUGGGCUAGCAGUUGUACUUUGGUGUGGUGAAAAUGUCUUCUGACGCUGGCAAUGCAUAUUUUAAGACCAACAAAGAGGAUUCCUCAGAGACAGAGAGACAAUCUGACUGGACUGAAAAUGUGCCCCAGACGUCAGAGCAGGAGGUGCCUAGCAAGAGUCCAACAGCCCAAGUUACCAACAAUCUUCAGCUUAUCGAUUCCAUACUUACGGACCUGCAAGCUCUGCAUGAUCGUUUAAAGGAGAGAGACUUGAUGGAUGCACCUCUUCUUCAAAAAUAAAAUUUCACCUACCCUUACUCAACAUAAUUCUUAAUAAAGCUAGAUUUUAAUGUUUACAUGUUGCAGUGUAAACACAAACAAAGAGGCUGUGAGAUUUAAUU
Sardina pilchardus (European sardine) is the source of this 534-nucleotide long non-coding RNA. RefSeq lists it as uncharacterized. The transcript has 4 exons. NCBI's taxonomy places the organism in Eukaryota, Metazoa, Chordata, Actinopteri, Clupeiformes, Clupeidae. The record is from RefSeq and is a predicted model, not a curated record.